UGGGGAAUUUUGCACAAUGGGCGCAAGCCUGAUGCAGCGACGCCGCGUGAGGGAUGAAGGCCUUCGGGUUGUAAACCUUUUUCGCUCAUGGUCAAGCCGCAGCUUUGGGUUGUGGAGAGGGUAGUGGGUAAAGAAGCGCCGGCUAACUACGUGCCAGCAGCCGCGGUAAUACGUAGGGCGCGAGCGUUGUCCGGAAUUAUUGGGCGUAAAGGGCUUGUAGGCGGUUGGCCGCGUCUGCCGUGAAAUCCUCUGGCUUAACUGGGGGCGUGCGGUGGGUACGGGUUGACUUGAGUGCGGUAGGGGAGACUGGAAUUCCUGGUGUAGCGGUGGAAUGCGCAGAUAUCAGGAGGAACACCGGUGGCGAAGGCGGGUCUCUGGGCCGUUACUGACGCUGAGGAGCGAAAGCGUGGGGAGCGAACAGG
RNAcentral lists this ribosomal RNA (422 nucleotides) under Bacteroidota bacterium. RNAcentral's name for it is "Bacteroidetes bacterium partial 16S ribosomal RNA". It matches the Rfam family "Bacterial small subunit ribosomal RNA", at positions 355 to 776 of the family's 1533-position model. The record is from RNAcentral. Lineage: Bacteria; Pseudomonadati; Bacteroidota.